This 492-nucleotide ribosomal RNA is filed under the name uncultured bacterium. Its description in RNAcentral is "partial 16S ribosomal RNA". It matches the Rfam family "Bacterial small subunit ribosomal RNA", at positions 29 to 507 of the family's 1533-position model. The record is from RNAcentral.
AGUGAACGCUGGCGGCAGGCCUAACACAUGCAAGUCGAACGGCAGCACAGUAAGAGCUUGCUCUUACGGGUGGCGAGUGGCGGACGAGUGAGGAAUGCAUCGGAAUCUACUUUUUCGUGGGGGAUAACGUAGGGAAACUUACGCUAAUACCGCAUACGACCUACGGGUGAAAGCAGGGGAUCUUCGGACCUUGCGCGAUUGAAUGAGCCGAUGUCGGAUUAGCUAGUUGGCGGGGUAAAGGCCCACCAAGGCGACGAUCCGUAGCUGGUCUGAGAGGAUGAUCAGCCACACUGGAACUGAGACACGGUCCAGACUCCUACGGGAGGCAGCAGUGGGGAAUAUUGGACAAUGGGCGCAAGCCUGAUCCAGCCAUACCGCGUGGGUGAAGAAGGCCUUCGGGUUGUAAAGCCCUUUUGUUGGGAAAGAAAAGCAGCAGGUUAAUACCCCGCUGUUCUGACGGUACCCAAAGAAUAAGCACCGGCUAACUUCGUG